Molecule: long non-coding RNA, 564 nt
Organism: Pseudophryne corroboree (corroboree frog)
Lineage: Eukaryota; Metazoa; Chordata; Amphibia; Anura; Myobatrachidae
Exons: 3
Source: RefSeq, a predicted model, not a curated record
AGAAGCGUCGCGCGCGCGUACGCGGGAACUUUGAAUAGCAGUGCAGUAGUGGCACAGGACAAAAGGAUCGGGACAGUGCGGCCGCGGUAUACCCUGGAAAAACAUGAUGUUUCUAAAUAUUAUUUCCAUGUAACUACUACACUACCUGCUGUACGGUGUAUUGUGUCCUGUCUGACACCCAGCACAUCAUAUGGGAAGAUGCGAUGAAUGUGUGUAAACCAGAGAUUGUUCACACACUACACAAUGGGGGUGCAGUUACAAUCCCGACAAGAUACCGGCUGCAAAAUCCUGAAAGGUGACGGGACACUGAUGCUGUAAUUUCAACUGUUGGGAUCUCUAUCAUUUACACAUUGAGCACUACAGAGAGUGGUACCUCUAUGAACAGUCUGCAUUAUGCUAGUGAGUGCUACGUCUACUACUCCCCUGAUACUCACAAAAGUUUAGAUGAUGUUUAAAGCUGUCCAUGUUAGGCAGUGGUUAUGUUUGUUAUUUAACGUAAGUAGGAUUUAUUGCUGAUCUGUUCAGCACUUUUCAGUAUAAGUGAAAUGCCUUAAACAUAUAAAA